RNAcentral lists this long non-coding RNA (1798 nucleotides) under Homo sapiens (human). RNAcentral's name for it is "HSALNT0329738". The record is from RNAcentral. Lineage: Eukaryota; Metazoa; Chordata; Mammalia; Primates; Hominidae.
UCGACAAGUCGUCAGCGCGGCUGCGCCGCAGGAGCCCGGGAGGCCUUUCGCCCGAGGCGGGCUGCGGGCUGCUGGGGUCUGGUGCGGAGGGCCAACUUCUGGGAAUAACCUGGCUGUGGGCUUAAAAAUCGUAGUCAUUCAUUAUCACGGGCUUCUCUCUCUCGAAUACCUUUAACAUUUAUCGCCUUGUUAGUCUCCACAUCCACCUCCGUGAAAGAGAUGGAGUCUCGCUAUAUUUCCCAGUCUGGCCUCAAACUCCUGAUCUUAAGGGAUCCCCAGCUCAACCUCUCCCAGCAGCUGGGACUACCGGGCUGUCAAAUUUACAUUAACUAUGAGAAUUAAGCAGAAUCCGAAAGUCAUCUGAGUUGGCUAUCUGCACGUUCUCUCUGUACCAGUGAACUUGAACUGUGGCUGUGGCCUGGAUUCCGCAUUCAAACAUGACCAACUGACCUCUGGUUGUAGGGAUGUCUUGAAGAUGCUGAAGAACAAACACAGAGUUCAGAGGAUGGAAGAAACUGUUAUACCAUCUACAAUGAUUUGAAAUGCCAUUUGCAACUGCAGUUGACCGUGGGUUAUUGAAACCACAGAAAGUGAAACUGGAUAACGAAGUGAGUACUAUGUUGUAAUUUCUUAAGAGCCCUGAAUUAGGGAACUUGGGCCAAAAUAUUAACUCUGCCACUGGCUGAUUGAAGCUGGUUAUAGGAACUUGGAAAAGACUAUUAACUUCUCUGGAACUCAGGUUCUUUGUCUAUGAAAUAGGGCUAGCAAAAUAUGUGGGGUUUUGAGGUUCAUUUCACAAAGGUCUGAAAACUUCCUGUAAAGAGUAAGAGUUAUACAGAUAUAUAAAAAGUGUUUUUAGCUAGUUUAGUAUCACAAUGUAUAAAUGAAUGGAUGGCAUUUAUGUUAAAUUUACCCCUUAAAUCCUGAUCUUUCUCCUCCCUCUACCUGCAACCCCAGAGUACCCUGGAAUCUAGAAUGAUAUUUCAGAUUAUAACUUGGCAGUGAGACCAGAGAGCGGGAAUCUGAGGUCUUUCUACAGGUUAGACUAAGGACCAGCCUAACCCUCAGGCUUGAUGCCCAGAGGUCUCAGGCAUCUUAUAGGGAAGGAAUGCAGCAGGAGAGACUUGUAGAAAUAACAGACAUGUACGUGACAGCAUCUGUUGAAAACAAGCUUCCAGAAUCAAUAGCAAUGUCACUUACUCUUAAUGACAUUGUUUUGUUUGUCUCCCAUCCUGUAUCUGGUACAGAUUAAAUCCCUGCCCUGCAUUUCAUACUUUGAGCCAGCAAUGGGCAUUGAUUCCAAUUCUGCCAGGUUUGGUAAUUGGGAGACAGAGAGCCCAGAGAAGGCUUAGCCCUAGUUUUGGUUUGACCGGGGUGAUUGAAUUGUGCUAUUUCCAGUGGGUGAGAGGGAAGAUAGUGAUUCCUGGCUGUGACCUAAUCAGGACUUAGUUACUACUUUGCUUGUUGACUUCUUCAGAAUGGCAUUUUAUGGCUAGUUAAGAGAAUUUGACUAUAUUUUGAGGUCAGGCAAAGCAGUCUCCUUGGAGGGGACAGUCUAAGCAUUGCCCUCCAGAGGUGGAGGACGGCCACAGAGCAGAAGUCUAAAGAGCACAGGGUAAACCAUGAAUUGCUCUGUGACACUGAGCAAAUCAUUUCACCCCUUUUCAGCCUCAUUUUUUCUCAUAUAUAACGUGAUAAUAAUCUCUGAAAUCCUUUCUGAUUUCCCCUUUUUUUCUUCUCACCGCUUCACUAAUGUCUAAAACUUACUUAUAAAAUCUAAACUCCAUCAUGCAGUAUG